Amphibalanus amphitrite is the source of this 1531-nucleotide long non-coding RNA. RefSeq lists it as uncharacterized. The transcript has 2 exons. The record is from RefSeq and is a predicted model, not a curated record. NCBI's taxonomy places the organism in Eukaryota, Metazoa, Arthropoda, Thecostraca, Balanomorpha, Balanidae.
AAGCUCAAAUUAUUGAGCGCUCAAAAUAUUGAGCGUGUGACGUCAGAGGCUCCCAUAGGCGUAAUGCUGAGGGCUCAAAAAAUUGAGCCGUUUCAGGAACACGUUUUGCAAAAGCAACUCGCAACACCUAGGGAGAAAUGGCAACACCCUAGGAGAAUCACUAAUGAUGCAAAACAGAUUAGGCUUUCAUAUUUUUCACUGCUCAAGCUUCAAUGAUUGGGGGAACACCAAUUUCUAGGUCGAAAUCUUACGGCAUACCAGGAUGCCUUAAAAACAGGCCAAUAUUUAUGUCGAAAUAAAAGUUAUUUUUUGUCCAUUCACGUUUUUUACUAGGGUUCUGUUGGAAAGAGCAUUUUUCAUACUACCCAAAAUGAUUGCGACUCAAUUUCACAUCACCCAUAUCAGAGAAUAUUUUUCAUUUGGCGGCGCCGUUUGUUUAUUUCGUCGCGACGUCUCCGGUCGCGUGGUUGUCGUCGUCCUUGUGUUGAAGGUCUGCACAACCAAGCGGUCGCUGGCGAGGACGUCGGCCGUCCCUGUGGGUAAGGUCAUCUGCUCAGCCUUUGUGGAGAUCAGCAAGACGUCACCAAGAUGAAGACUUCGCUGGAGCAGAAGCCGCUGACCCGUGUCCGAUCGGGCAGGUCAUGCUCGACGGCACGAGCCACAACUUGAACGACUCGGUGACAUCAACAACAUGGUGGAGCAGGGGAAUGAGUUUGGCGACGUGUUGUGCAACUGCAAGAAGGGUUGUCUGCGUGUUCUGGCCGGCGGAGCGGCGACGCUGCGCAGUCUGUGCUGGUGGUGAGCAGCUGGCCGUGGUGACCGCGCGCGCCCACAUGCGCCGACAACCUGUGCGGCUUCGACGGCCCCGGGACAGCCCGAUGCCGCCCACUAUGCGACGCCGACCGCGCACUGUCCGCACGGCCACAUGGAGGUGUGCCCGCGCCUUUUGCCCGCACGCCGCUACCUCGCAGCUGGUCUGCAACCACGCCGUCGCCGCCUGUAGCCCGAUAACAAAACGGCUGUCUGAUAAUGCCGCGUGUUCUUUGUGAUGUUGCUACUGUGAUGGUUGCUACUGCUGGUCUGAGACUCGAUGUUUCCAUUCGUCUUUUACAUGUUAAGGAUUUGAUAAUGAUAAGCUUAGUCCGAGCUUAGGUCGUUUAUAUCAUUUGUUAUAUGGCAUAUUUUGGAUCAAAGCAGUACGACACUGCCUCCUGCUUUUGUGAUGUAUGCUGGCAAGACGCAGGUUCCGGUCGCAGCUCACCCGGUUCCAAUGUGGUCGGGCUGGCAUGCGAUAAUGUGAUGUUGUUUUGCUCGUCUCUGUGUUCCACACUUGAUGUUUGUGAAUCUAACCCACAUUGUAUAGUAUUUUUGUUUGUUUGCGGCCGAUGGCCUCGUAAGUUGUAACCGUGGCAAUACAGUUUUUCCUGUAUAAUUCUCCAAUAUUCAAGCGUGGGUGGAUAUCUUUCUGUAAUCACGUAUUCCCUUAUCCCAGUACUGUCAGAAAAUAUCAAUACAGUAUUCAUACGGAUUA